AUUGAACGCUGGCGGCAUGCUUUACACAUGCAAGUCGAGCGGCAGCGCGGGGGCAACCCUGGCGGCGAGCGGCGGACGGGUGAGUAAUGCAUCGGAACGUAUCCCGUAGUGGGGGACAACCCAGCGAAAGCUGGGCUAAUACCGCAUAUGCUCUACGGAGGAAAGUGGGGGACCCGCAAGGGCCUCACGCUAUGGGAGCGGCCGAUGUCCGAUUAGCUAGUUGGUGGGGUAAAGGCCCACCAAGGCGACGAUCGGUAGCUGGUCUGAGAGGAUGAUCAGCCACACUGGGACUGAGACACGGCCCAGACUCCUACGGGAGGCAGCAGUGGGGAAUUUUGGACAAUGGGGGCAACCCUGAUCCAGCCAUGCCGCGUGCGGGAAGAAGGCCUCGG
RNAcentral lists this ribosomal RNA (392 nucleotides) under uncultured bacterium. RNAcentral describes it as "bacterial SSU rRNA". It matches the Rfam family "Bacterial small subunit ribosomal RNA", at positions 28 to 420 of the family's 1533-position model. The record is from RNAcentral.